Long non-coding RNA from Ostrea edulis (European flat oyster), 2193 nucleotides. RefSeq lists it as uncharacterized. The record is from RefSeq and is a predicted model, not a curated record. Lineage: Eukaryota; Metazoa; Mollusca; Bivalvia; Ostreida; Ostreidae. The transcript has 2 exons.
CAUUCUAAAAAAAAUAAUAAUGCAAUUAUUUUGUGGGCAUGUUAUAUAUCUAUUUAAAAUUAAUAGAAACAGUUUGUAUGAUCUGUUCAAAUUAAAUCAGUGAUUUGAAACUGAUAGUGGAAUUAGUCAUCCCAAUUUGACUUGCUGUCAGACAAAUUUAAGACAUAUCAGGGUCAUGGACUUCCCAUCCACUAUACAUAUAGGCCUAGUAGUCUCAUUGGACUUACCUAAAACGUGCAUGAACUGAAGUGUCAUUCAGAGUAAACUCAUUUUGGAACUAUAUAAACAUUGAUCCAGGUCUGCAUAGUGUAAUUCUCAGAAUGGCAUAUUAAAACCAGUCUGGUCAUUGGUCACACCAUAUAAAUUCUGUAUCUAUCAUGAAUUAUAUUCUGAAAGAGAAAUGAAAUUGUAAAUAAUCAAAGGAUACCAAAGACCUUCCAAUAACCAAAUUACAGGACAAUAAAUAAAUAUUUCUAAUCACUGGUCACUUGUGCUAUCAAAUUAAAUUUUUACUUGUCAAUUGAUAACUCUUACUGUUCCUUCGGACCAAUCUGAUUAAAACCAGCUCCUCGAUCCGCUCCUCGUAUUGCGACAACAUAAAAAUAAAGGAGCGGAUCGAGCUGAUUUUAACAUAAUGCCGACGUUACUUAAGUUAUUUCAGUUUGACCUGCUUUGUACAUAAUAAGAGUGGUUAAACUAUGAGGUGUUACAAAUGAAAUAGCAUUGCUAUGUCUAGCGAGUAUAUAUCUAGUUGAUGCAAAUCGCGGAUUAUCAAGUGCCGGGUAGAAAAUGAAAAUCGUCUUAAGUGUCCGACAAUAGACACAUUUAGACUAGUUAGCCAAUUCCAUUGUCCUACUUUACAAAAGACACAUGAGUUACAUAAUUCAAGAUACCUCUGACUGUUACCCUUGCUUUCUCUAUAUGUUAUGUGCAGUGAAGAUCAUCAGACACAAAUGUGAAAGGGAUAAGAAUCGGAGGAAUUUCGGAUUAUCAGUGAUCAUGACUGGCAUGAAGUCAAAGAAUCUACAAAAUACACUAGUGUGUAAAUCACUUACUUAAUGGUUGGGAGUCUCUUCAGGAUAACACCACAAAAUCCCUCGGGUCCCUGUUGAAGGCUAUUCUUUGUCUGUUCAUAAAGGUUACGGUAUGUCACAACAUCAUAAACAUGGCGUCUGCAUGCUUACUAAGCGCGGGAACUCGGAGUGCACACCCGAUGCUUUUUAUCAGGAACCCGAUCUCAAUUUACCGUUGUUAGAGCCAAGUACUGUGAAGACCCGCUCUGAAUUGAUUGGUUAAUUAAUUAAUAAGUUAACUAGUUUAUAAAAAUAAUAUGAUGAUCUUCAAUAAUUUCCUUCUGCAGGGACAUCUUUUGACAUACAGUGUAUAUCAAUAUUAACCCCCCCCCCCAAAUAAAUAAAAAAAAAAUAAAAAGUCAUAUACAGAUAGAUCUAUAUAUGUAUGUAUUAUGAUAUAUACAGAUUGUUUACCACACACACACAUAUAUAUAAUUUUUUCUUAUGAAAUUGCUGCAGACUAACAAUCAUGUAGCAUUAUCAAGUUCAAAAGAGUAUCUUACUACUAGGUCUCUACAAUUAUUUAUUUUUGAUUGUUAUGUUUUUAAAAAUGGAAAAUAGCUUUCCAUUUAGAGGUUUAGGGAUGGAUCCCUUCAUGUAAUCCUUCAGAUUUUCUUUAAUACUAUAGCUACCUUAAUGGCAGAACAAAAAAAAACCUUUUUAUAGAUAAAUUAAAAUUCAUUAACAUCAACAGGAUUUGCACUAUUUCAUAUAUAUAUAUAUAUAUAUAUAUAUAUAUAUAUUUUUUUUUUUUUUUUAAACAAAAAAUGUCUAAAACAUACAUACAUCAAUAAAAAAAAAAAACAUGCCAGAUUGAAGUUGGGUACAUAAUGCUGGUACAAUUGACUAUAAAAGCUUUCUUAUUUCAAAAUCAGUUGUGAAAUUGUUUAAUGUUUAUUUUCAUAUUAUUUGUAUCUGUUGUGAAAUUACAAGGUUUAUUUAAAUGGGUACAUUUUGGGUACAUUUUCAAUAGUCACAUUUAAAGUUGGUACAUUACGGGUACAAUUUAACUUUUUAAUUUACCCAGGGUACAUAUCUGGUAAACAUUUCAACAUUAAUAUUUUUUGUUGGGUACAUUUCGGGUACAUUUUAACUUUUCAAUUUUUAAUCUGGGUACAUU